CAGUAGCCGCGGUAAUACGUAGGGUGCGAGCGUUAAUCGGAAUUACUGGGCGUAAGGCGCGCGUAGGUGGUUUGUUAAGUUGGAUGUGAAAUCCCCGGGCUCAACCUGGGAACUGCAUUCAAAACUGACUGACUAGAGUAUGGUAGAGGGUGGUGGAAUUUCCUGUGCAGCGGUGAAAUGCGUAGAGAUCGGGAGGAACAUCAGUGGCGAAGGCGGCCAUCUGGGACAACACUGACGCUGAGGCACGAAAGCGUGGGGAGCAAACAGGAUUAGAUACCCGCGUAGUCCCUGUCUCUUAUAC
This 301-nucleotide ribosomal RNA is filed under the name uncultured bacterium. RNAcentral's name for it is "partial 16S ribosomal RNA". It matches the Rfam family "Bacterial small subunit ribosomal RNA", at positions 509 to 807 of the family's 1533-position model. The record is from RNAcentral.